GGAUGCUACUGUGGUCUAGGCUCCAAAAAUGCUCCUCCUCCUCCCGGAACCCUCACCUCCUAGAAUCCAUGCCCUUGUAUAUACUCUCCCUGAACUGAAUCAGGGCUUUCUGUGUGACCAAUAGCAUAAGAUGGGGAGAACAGUGUGUGAUUUAUGAAACUGUCAUAAAGGGCAUUGUGGCUUCUGCUGUGGCCUUUUGGAUUGCUUGCUCCGGGGGACCCCAGCAGCCACGUCAUGAGAAUACUCAAGUAUCCCUGGGGAGAGGUCCUCAUGAAGAGAAACUAAGGCCUCCUGCCAACAGCCAUGUGAGUGCGCCAUCUUGGAAUCAGAUCCUCCAGCUCCAGUCAGACCUUCAGUUGACUGCAGCCCCAGCCAACAUCUGACCUUAACUUCAUGAGAGACCUGAGCCCCAUCCAGCCAGCCAGGCUGCUCCUGAAUUCCUGACCCGCUGGAACUGUGAGAGAUGAUAAUUGUUCACUGAUGUUUUAAAUCACUAAGUUUUGGAGUAACUUGUUAUGCAGCGGUAGAUAACUAGUAUACUGGUGCUGAGAGCCGUCCCUCCUUCCCUCUUUAAUUCCUUCUGGUGUGAAGAAUACUCUAACCACUGCAUAAGCUAAAUCUCCCAAACGGAAAUCUUUCCUAAUUUGGGAACCAAGUUGGGGGCCUGGAAUUUAGACCAAGGUCUCAAGGAAUAUAGAAACCCCUCUUUCCUUGGCCCCAGGACACCUGAUGCCACCCCAUUUGGGUGGCCUCUGGACACAUUUCCUGCUCUUCUGAAUGAGUUUUCCAAGUCCCAUAAUCCAUUUUGAAUGUACUAAUAGCACCUGUGGGCACAUAGCAGGUGUUAAAUAAAUAUUAUUUGCUGUCUUGGUCCAGUUCUUCCAGAAAGUAGAACCCAAGAAAGGAUUAACAUUCUAAUAAUUUAGUUAAAAGUUGAGAGGCAAGAGCAAUGGAGAUGAGGGAAAAAAAGAAAGUGAGACAAGAGAAGUCAUGCAAUGGAACACACUGACGGCCUCUGCUCAAGGAGAGCAGAGAGGGAACAGCAGGUUCGCUGAGCAUGGGGCUUCUCUGGAAAGGCUGCAAGGAGGAAUCAUGAUCCAGUGCCCUUCACAGGAGAAAGGGAGGUGGAGGAAUUUAUCCGCCCUGCUCCCACCUUCUAUCUCCUAGGUCCAUAUGCAUCCCCUGGGGAAUUAGCGCCUCUGGUUUAUCCAACCCCUGAUGGCUGCUCAGGAAGUCAGAUCCCACAGCCCAUGGUGAGGUUCAGUGGAGGGCAUCCCAGAGCGAGUGGGGCACCAGCAGGGGAGAAAACAAAGUCAUUGAGCAACCUGAGAAGACAUACAAGAUGUGUGUCCCCCGCAGGUCCCUUCUUGGUCCCUUUUCUAAUUCCUCAGGUACUAACUUGCCAGCACAGCCAUGGGAAGGCCUGGAUUCUCCUGUUGACUGCAUCCGUUCCUCAAAUGUGUAGUGUGGGUGGAGAUACAGUGACGCUGCAUGUUAAUGUGAGCCGACCCUUGCAGGCUUCACGACAGAUGGACACACUCAAAUCCCGGCAUGCAAAGUGCAAGACUUCCUCUUUCUUCAGCCGCCUAGGAGGGAGAUCUUAGCUCUCAGCGGAGGGGUCUCUGAGACAGUAGCAUUCACCCACUGGCUUAGAAAAUGCAAUUUAAUGGAAUAGAACUGGAGCUUUUGAGCCGUCACCAGGCUGUUUUAGACAAAAUUAAAAGGCCCUAAAGCGCUUGUUUUUUUGCUAAGAAGAGAAGUGUUUCCUCUCAAGAGUUCUCCAAACUUCUUAGAAGCAAACCUGGGAAAGUGGCUGUGAGCAGGAGAUGGAGGCCCCAUCAGUCCCUCAGAAUUCCGGUGUGAUAAGAGGAACAGUCCAGCGCUCACUAACAGAGGAGGAUGGAUGAUUGGAUGGAUGGGCGAUCAAGGAAAUCAUUGCUGUGGGUUUUUACUGUCUUGAAUCAGUCUCUCCAACGUGCAUUUUUCCUGUCCCUGACACAGCCACCCGCUCCGAUCCCCCAUCCUUCUGGCUUGUUAUCAGUUCCACACUGUCUCUUUGCAUUAAAGUGACAAGAAGCAGCACAAAGCUGACGACAGGAGGCUAGAGCUGUAAUUUGCACUGACAUUCACUGGUGUUAUCCACUUAUUGCCUGGUUGCUCAGGGCCCUCAAAGGACUCUGGGAGAACUAAGUGCCCCUGGGAAGUCAGACCCCAGCUGAAAACACCUCAGCAGCUCUCCUUCUGCCUCCCCAAUCCCUCUCUUGAAACUCUCCCAGCUGUAAGAGAAGCGAGGCUGAAUGACAGGCUCCUGAGCAGCAGCAUCAAGCAGUCAGCCUGUGGGCAUGGCCUGCUGCUCAGUUUACAAGGCCCAGGACAAGAUGAAAACAUGGGACCCCUUGUUCAAAAAAGCAGGAAAAAGUGUCAUUAAAGGUAC
This 2434-nucleotide long non-coding RNA is filed under the name Equus caballus (horse). Its description in RNAcentral is "lncRNA (ENSECAG00000045976.1)". Lineage: Eukaryota; Metazoa; Chordata; Mammalia; Perissodactyla; Equidae. The record is from RNAcentral.